UUACGAUCACAUCAAGUUGAAAGAUCGGUUCCCGUACAAUCCGCGACGUUAAGCAAUGUUGAGCCUGGUCAGUACCCAGAUGGGUGACCGCUUGGGAAUACCAGUUGCUGUAA
Acanthosepion pharaonis is the source of this 113-nucleotide non-coding RNA. The record is from the annotation of a GenBank genome assembly. Lineage: Eukaryota; Metazoa; Mollusca; Cephalopoda; Sepiida; Sepiidae.